GUGAAUCAUCGAAUCUUUGAACGCAAAUUGCGCUUCUUGGUAUUCCGGGGGGCAUGCCUGUUUGAGGGUCAUUUUUAACAUAAAAUUGGUUUUGUUGCAAAUUGUGACGUUUCUUGAGUUUGGGCUAUCUUAAAUUUUUUGGUUAAGGGGCUUAUUAUUGACCUUAUUUGCGCAUUUUUAGACGUACAUCAAUUUUUUUUUUUAUUCGUCUAUUCUUAAUGCCAAAAUCUUAUUAGAUGCGAUCACAUCGUGUGGUUUCGUUUCCAUAAAAUUUUCAUGAUUUGACCUCAACUCAGGUAGG
This 301-nucleotide unclassified non-coding RNA is filed under the name Glomeraceae sp. RNAcentral describes it as "partial contains 5.8S ribosomal RNA and internal transcribed spacer 2". The stretch from base 1 to 71 matches the Rfam family "5.8S ribosomal RNA", at positions 84 to 154 of the family's 154-position model. The record is from RNAcentral. Lineage: Eukaryota; Fungi; Glomeromycota; Glomeromycetes; Glomerales; Glomeraceae.